RNAcentral lists this ribosomal RNA (256 nucleotides) under uncultured bacterium. RNAcentral describes it as "partial 16S ribosomal RNA". It matches the Rfam family "Bacterial small subunit ribosomal RNA", at positions 524 to 776 of the family's 1533-position model. The record is from RNAcentral.
UACGUAGGGUGCAAGCGUUAUCCGGAAUUAUUGGGCAUAAAGAGCUCGUAGGCGGUUUGUCGCGUCUGCUGUGAAAACUGGGGGCUCAACCCCCCAGCCUGCAGUGGGUACGGGCAGACUAGAGUGCGGUAGGGGGAGAUUGGAAUUCCUGGUGUAGCGGUGGAAUGCGCAGAUAUCAGGAGGAACACCGAUGGCGAAGGCAGAUCUCUGGGCCGUAACUGACGCUGAGGAGCGAAAGUGGUGGGGAGCGAACAGG